This 1346-nucleotide ribosomal RNA is filed under the name uncultured bacterium. Its description in RNAcentral is "partial 16S ribosomal RNA". It matches the Rfam family "Bacterial small subunit ribosomal RNA", at positions 28 to 1381 of the family's 1533-position model. The record is from RNAcentral.
GACGAACGCUUGCGGCGUGCUUAACACAUGCAAGUCGAACGGAAAGGCCCUGCUUUUGUGGGGUGCUCGAGUGGCGAACGGGUGAGUAACACGUGAGUAACCUGCCCUUGACUUUGGGAUAACUUCAGGAAACUGGGGCUAAUACCGGAUAGGAGCUCCUGCUGCAUGGUGGGGGUUGGAAAGUUUCGGCGGUUGGGGAUGGACUCGCGGCUUAUCAGCUUGUUGGUGGGGUAGUGGCUUACCAAGGCUUUGACGGGUAGCCGGCCUGAGAGGGUGACCGGCCACAUUGGGACUGAGAUACGGCCCAGACUCCCACGGGAGGCAGCAGUGGGGAAUAUUGCACAAUGGGCGGAAGCCUGAUGCAGCAACGCCGCGUGCGGGAUGACGGCCUUCGGGUUGUAAACCGCUUUCGCCUGUGACGAAGCGUGAGUGACGGUAAUGGGUAAAGAAGCACCGGCUAACUACGUGCCAGCAGCCGCGGUGAUACGUAGGGUGCGAGCGUUGUCCGGAUUUAUUGGGCGUAAAGGGCUCGUAGGUGGUUGAUCGCGUCGGAAGUGUAAUCUUGGGGCUUAACCCUGAGCGUGCUUUCGAUACGGGUUGACUUGAGGAAGGUAGGGGAGAAUGGAAUUCCUGGUGGAGCGGUGGAAUGCGCAGAUAUCAGGAGGAACACCAGUGGCGAAGGCGGUUCUCUGGGCCUUUCCUGACGCUGAGGAGCGAAAGCGUGGGGAGCGAACAGGCUUAGAUACCCUGGUAGUCCACGCUGUAAACGGUGGGUACUAGGUGUGGGGUCCAUUCCACGGGUUCCGUGCCGUAGCUAACGCUUUAAGUACCCCGCCUGGGGAGUACGGCCGCAAGGCUAAAACUCAAAGGAAUUGACGGGGCCCCGCACAAGCGGCGGAGCAUGCGGAUUAAUUCGAUGCAACGCGUAGAACCUUACCUGGGUUUGACAUGGAUCGGGAGUGCUCAGAGAUGGGUGUGCCUCUUUUGGGGUCGGUUCACAGGUGGUGCAUGCCUGUCGUCAGCUCGUGUCGUGAGAUGUUGGGUUAAGUCCCGCAACGAGCGCAACCCUUGUUCACUGUUGCCAGCACGUUAUGGUGGGGACUCAGUGGAGACCGCCGGGGUCAACUCGGAGGAAGGUGGGGAUGACGUCAAGUCAUCAUGCCCCUUAUGUCCAGGGCUUCACGCAUGCUACAAUGGCUGGUACAGAGAGUGGCGAGCCUGUGAGGGUGAGCGAAUCUCGGAAAGCCGGUCUCAGUUCGGAUUGGGGUCUGCAACUCGACCUCAUGAAGUCGGAGUCGCUAGUAAUCGCAGAUCAGCAACGCUGCGGUGAAUACGUUCCCGGGGCU